RNAcentral lists this ribosomal RNA (775 nucleotides) under uncultured Neocallimastigales. Its description in RNAcentral is "partial large subunit ribosomal RNA". It matches the Rfam family "Eukaryotic large subunit ribosomal RNA", at positions 24 to 644 of the family's 3401-position model. The record is from RNAcentral. Lineage: Eukaryota; Fungi; Neocallimastigomycota; Neocallimastigomycetes; Neocallimastigales.
UACGACUACAUAUCAGGCAUAUCAAUAAGCGGAGGAAAAGAAACUAACUAGGAUUCCCUCAGUAACGGCGAGUGAAGCGGGAAGAGCUCAAAUUUGAAAUCUUCAAGGUUUUACCUUGACGAAUUGUAGUUUAAAGAAGUGUUUUCUGUUGGAGUUUUGGUAAAAGUUCUUUGGAAUAGGACAUCAUAGAGGGUGAGAAUCCCGUAUUUGACCAUUAUUUCCAGCUUUGUGAUACACUUUCAAAGAGUCGGAUUGUUUGGGAAUGCAGUCCAAAAUGGGUGGUAAAUUUCAUCUAAAGCUAAAUAUUAGGCGAGAGACCGAUAGCUAACAAGUACCGUGAGGGAAAGAUGAAAAGAACUUUGAAAAGAGAGUUAAACAGUACGUGAAAUUGUCAAAAGGGAAGCGUUUGACACCAGUGUUGUUUCUACGAAAAUCAAUUUAUGAUGGCUUGAUGCUAAGCUUUAAGACUUUAUCCGCUUGUUGUUUAGUUUUCUUGUCUUUGUGAAUGCACUUUUCGUGGAACAAGUCAACAUCAAUUUCUUUUGCUGUAAAAGGGUAAGAGGAAGGUGGCUUCGGCUUCGGUUGAAGUGUUUAUAGCCUUUUAUCUCUGCAGUCGGAGAGAUUGAGGUCUGCCAGCGUAGACUCUUCGGGGUUAGAUACGUCGGUGCUAAGCUAUAGCUUUUCAUAGACAACUUGUUGACUAUGUUUAGUCAUGUGGCUUACCCGCUGGCGCUAUUUUACCUACGCUUAGGAUGUUGACUGAUAUGUAGUCGUA